Long non-coding RNA from Cyprinus carpio (common carp), 1337 nucleotides. RefSeq lists it as uncharacterized. NCBI's taxonomy places the organism in Eukaryota, Metazoa, Chordata, Actinopteri, Cypriniformes, Cyprinidae. The record is from RefSeq and is a predicted model, not a curated record. The transcript is spliced from 3 exons.
AUGCAGCAUCAUAAUUAGCACCUAUCAGUGCAGUGAGCGCCCACGAGGAGAGCCAGACUGCGCUUCAGAUGACCGCAGGGAGCGGUUCUGAGCCAGUACCAUUCAUUCAUUCAUUCCUGAACCUAAUAAAGAGUAAUAUCUUAAAUGCAAUGCACUCCUUGAUAGUUAAAAUAGCACUAAAACUCUCUGAAGAUCAAACAUCACCAUCCUCUUCUACUCAUAAUCAUCAUCUGCGUUCACACAGGUGGGGAAAAAUGUGGCGGAUGCGUUGCGGGUCACGUCCCGCCUCUGCGUCACAUUUUCCUCCAGCGCAGACGCCUGCGCGAGGGCGCGCACGUAAGCCUCUAAUUCGAACGAAUUUGAAAUAAAUGACGGUUAUUGAUCAACUGUCAACACUGAGAUUACAGACGACGGUGAAUGCUAAAAGACGGUUAGUAAGCAUAAAACAGCGGAAAACGCAGCAAAAUCCACGAUUGAAGACGGUGAAGGUGUGUGAACUCACCUGCUCUCCACGACGGCCCCCCCGCUGCUGCUGCUCCCGCUGCCCAUGCUGACCGCUGCUCACCUGACGGACACUCGCUCGCUCGCUCACUGACCGCUGCUCACCUGCUGCGUGUCCUUGUGCCUCUCGCCCAAACCAAUCGGCCAAUCCACGCAAACCUCGACCUGUAAGCCGACCAGUGCUGUCUGCAUGGCCGGGCAGUGGUCAAAUCCCAUCGUAAAUCCCACUGAUGCUCUCUGGAUUGGCUGACAGCUGCAACAGUGUUCUGGAGAGUUUCUCAAACUGUGCUCAGGAAGACAGGAAAUGAGACAGUGCUGUGUCUCUCUCAGAGACGUGAGUCACGCAGCCGAGGACGAGCCGGAUAAUGGCUUAUCUCUCGCUCUCUCUCUCUCUCUCGCUCGCUCUGGAGGUCAUUGUGUACAGCGAGGCUCUUAACGAGGUAAGCAGGGUAAACUCUGAUUAGUAUAGCAACGGCUGAGACUAGAGCUGACGUGAAGACCACAAUCACAUGCAUUUAUACAAACGUCUUUGUGUUCCGCUCACAUUCAUUAAUACACAAUCAUAAAAACACACAGAGAUAAAAAUUGUCUCGGGCUGAUAAUAAUAGCACACUGCCAUUGGCCAAUGCACCAUCACGACACAGAUCUUGCUUUAUUCUCUUUCCUUUUCUCCCUCAGUUUCAGUUUUCAAGUUCAAAGUCAUCAUUUUGGAUGAUUUACUUACAAAAAAGGUGCCAGCAAUGUAAUAAAAUCAAAUGAAAUAUUAAAAAGACAUUAAGAAUAUACUAUUGCUCUUGAAUAUGGUGGGUUUGAUCUUUUUUCUGACAGUCCGGGCA